AAUGGCAAGUGAUGAAUAAGUUCUUAUCCUACACACUGAAUUGCUGUGUUGAUAAAAAACUCCGCUUAUUAUCUGAUGCCCUU
Molecule: small nucleolar RNA, 83 nt
Organism: Hevea brasiliensis (rubber tree)
Lineage: Eukaryota; Viridiplantae; Streptophyta; Magnoliopsida; Malpighiales; Euphorbiaceae
Product: small nucleolar RNA R16
Exons: 1
Source: RefSeq, a predicted model, not a curated record